AGUGAACGCUGGCGGUAGGCCUAACACAUGCAAGUCGAACGGCAGCACAGUAAGAGCUUGCUCUUACGGGUGGCGAGUGGCGGACGGGUGAGGAAUACAUCGGAAUCUACUUUUUCGUGGGGGAUAACGUAGGGAAACUUACGCUAAUACCGCAUACGACCUACGGGUGAAAGCAGGGGAUCUUCGGACCUUGCGCGAUUGAAUGAGCCGAUGUCGGAUUAGCUAGUUGGCGGGGUAAAGGCCCACCAAGGCGACGAUCCGUAGCUGGUCUGAGAGGAUGAUCAGCCACACUGGAACUGAGACACGGUCCAGACUCCUACGGGAGGCAGCAGUGGGGAAUAUUGGAAAAUGGGCGCAAGCCUGAUCCAGCCAUACCGCGUGGGUGAAGAAGGCCUUCGGGUUGUAAAGCCCUUUUGUUGGGAAAGAAAAGCAGCAGGUUAAUACCCCGCUGUUCUGACGGUACCCAAAGAAUAAGCACCGGCAAACUUCGU
Molecule: ribosomal RNA, 491 nt
Filed under: uncultured bacterium
Lineage: Bacteria
Description: partial 16S ribosomal RNA
Rfam family: Bacterial small subunit ribosomal RNA
Source: RNAcentral